Molecule: unclassified non-coding RNA, 1405 nt
Filed under: Hevea brasiliensis (rubber tree)
Lineage: Eukaryota; Viridiplantae; Streptophyta; Magnoliopsida; Malpighiales; Euphorbiaceae
Source: RNAcentral
GGGGGAUUCGCUUAGCGAUUUCCUGCCAAAUUGGAAAAGUCAUCAGCUUACAGCUCCAAGUUGGAAUUUCAGUAUGUAAAACACAAUGAGGAUAAAUUCUACAGCUUCCUAACAUCCAAAUCAAACCAAGGUGCUGGGCUCAAACCAUCAGGCCAUCAGUAGAUUCAGUACUUGGUAGACACUUGACAUAUACUCACUGUUCAAUAUAAUCAUAAAAAUCCCUCAGCUGUGACAAAAUCCAUAUGCAUUUUUCAUUCCCAAUGCGAAUGUGAUUAAUUAUAGGGGAAAUGUUACAGAGAAUUCUUUAAUCAGAAAACUAUAGCUGGUAAGAUUCACCUUAAAAUGAGUACUCCCUAGACAAAAGAAAGGGAAAGAGUGCUACUAUACUCUUCUUUACCAAUUAAGGCUCAAAUAGAACCUUCUACCACAUUUCUUAUUUCCCUUCCCUUUUCAUGAAGACCAUCAUCUUUAUCAUCAUUAAUAAGGUGUAGUUGUAACAGCAAAGUUCAGUUCUUCUCUAAUGAUUCUUAAAGUCGAUGAGAAAUAGGGUUUAAGUUUUGGGCUUAUGUUGAGUUACAAUCCAUUGAGAUUAUUCAAAUUUCAAACAGGGCUACUUUUCAAUACAUCGAUCAGUAAGGUUUAAUAUUCAUUUAAGCCUUUAACAGUCAUUUUAGUCCCAACUCCAUCCUGAUGAGGCAAAAUGCCCAAAUUUCAUAAGCAACACACUCACACAUUAGAUACUCAUUCAAGGAGAAUCUAAACCUUAACCUACAGUAGCGGGCUCGAACACUGUGUCUUUAACCCAUUGUUACCAGAGAUGCCUACCAAUUUACAAAAUACUAACUCAAGCCCAAUUACAUGGCCAAAGCCUGAUCACGUAAUGCAAGUCCCUUCAGGGAAUUUACCAAGAUUAAUAGUCCAAUCAACCUUCCUAGUCCUACAGAAACGAAGCAGAAAGGUACUGCAAUACCAAUAAGCAAGAAGCUCAUUCUGUCAAUAAAUUACCAAUAGUUGAAAAAUAACCCCAGAAUGGAUUGAGAAUAUCAAUUUGAAAAAUUUUUCAUCAAUAAAACUUAUUAUAGUAGACAAAUCAUGAAAAAGCCAAUGACUGAUCAAGCUGAUACUAGAAUGAAGUACCAAAAGAAUUGUCUGUUAUUGACAAGUGCAGCCAGUGCAGCUUUUAUCGAAAUGGACCCUACACAAUCUGGUUGUUGACUAUUUUCUUAUCCAAAGAUAGUGGUAACACCUGAUUUUGAAGAAACAUAAUAUCAAGAAGAUACUGAAAACACAACCUUCAAAGAGCGCGUGUUUGUGGGAUAGAAAGGGUGAAAAAGAGAGAGAUUUAAGGGUGGUAAUAAUUACUGAUUACAUAUAAACUACCUCCUCAUCUAACUCUUUCUUUUUU